Molecule: long non-coding RNA, 396 nt
Filed under: Portunus trituberculatus (swimming crab)
Lineage: Eukaryota; Metazoa; Arthropoda; Malacostraca; Decapoda; Portunidae
Description: uncharacterized LOC123512108, transcript variant X1
Source: RNAcentral
UGCUGGACAGGACCACGUGAUCUUCAAACAUACCACAUGGGGAGUGGUGUUGCAUGAUUGGUUAUCCUUGUUUAUCCCGCGCAUCCGAGUGAUUACUAUUGUUUAGAGUGUCUGUAGUGAAUCUUGAGUGUUUGAUCGACUCGUGUGAUUAUUUCAAAAGACGUAAUGCGUGAGGAACCAGGAGAAAUGAGGUCUCGGCAGACUCAGGGAAGGUGAGACACGAACAGACAAGUUUCCAGCUCCGCCGCCACGCCCUGCAGGAAGAACUUUACACCACAAAGAGAUCGGCAGAACACCCGAAGAAAACGCACCAUCAGCCCAUCAUUAACGAGUUUAGCGUCCCCUUACAUGGCUGCCGUCACCACCACCACCACCACCACCACCACCGCCACCGCC